Molecule: ribosomal RNA, 253 nt
Filed under: uncultured bacterium
Lineage: Bacteria
Description: partial 16S ribosomal RNA
Rfam family: Bacterial small subunit ribosomal RNA
Source: RNAcentral
UACGAAGGGGGCUAGCGUUGCUCGGAAUCACUGGGCGUAAAGCGCACGUAGGCGGAUCUUUAAGUCAGGGGUGAAAUCCCGGAGCUCAACUCCGGAACUGCCUUUGAUACUGGGGAUCUUGUGUUCGAGAGAGGUGAGUGGAACUGCGAGUGUAGAGGUGAAAUUCGUAGAUAUUCGCAAGAACACCAGUGGCGAAGGCGGCUCACUGGCUCGAUACUGACGCUGAGGUGCGAAAGCGUGGGGAGCAAACAGG